Molecule: unclassified non-coding RNA, 236 nt
Filed under: air metagenome
Description: partial contains small subunit ribosomal RNA, internal transcribed spacer 1, and 5.8S ribosomal RNA
Rfam family: Eukaryotic small subunit ribosomal RNA (bases 1-46)
Source: RNAcentral
AAGUCGUAACAAGGUCUCCGUUGGUGAACCAGCGGAGGGAUCAUUAAAGAGUUAACUAAACUCCUUAAACCCAUGUGAACUUACCACUCUGUUGCCUCGGCAGCUCUACCGCCCGGCGCCUAGCGCGGGGUGGCUCUGCCGGUGGACCCAAAACCAAACUCUUGUUUUUAUAAUGCCAUUCUGAAUUUUCAAAACUUAAUAAGUUAAAACUUUCAACAACGGAUCUCUUGGUUCUG